UUAUAUGCUUGUCUCAAAGAUUAAGCCAUGCAUGUCUCAGUGCAAGCCACAUUAAGGUGAAACCGCGAAUGGCUCAUUACAUCAGUUAUGGUUCCUUAGAUCGUACCCACAUUACUUGGAUAACUGUGGUAAUUCUAGAGCUAAUACAUGCAAAUAGAGUUCCGACCAGAGAUGGAAGGAAUGCUUUUAUUAGAUCAAAACCAAUCGGUGGCGGGCUUGCCUUGCCACCGUUUGACUUGGUGACUCUGAAUAACUUUGUGCUGAUCGCACGGUCUCGUACCGGCGACGCAUCUUUCAAAUGUCUGCCUUAUCAACUGUCGAUGGUAGUUUCUGCGACUACCAUGGUUGUUACGGGUAACGGGGAAUCAGGGUUCGAUUCCGGAGAGGGAGCCUGAGAAACGGCUACCACAUCCAAGGAAGGCAGCAGGCGCGCAAAUUACCCACUCCCGGCACGGGGAGGUAGUGACGAAAAAUAACGAUACGGGACUCAUCCGAGGCCCCGUAAUCGGAAUGAGUACACUUUAAAUCCUUUAACGAUUAACAAUUGGAGGGAAAGCCUGGUGCCAGCAGCCGCGGUAAUUCCAGCUCCAAUAGCGUAUAUUAAAGUUGUUGCGGUUAAAAAGCUCGUAGUUGAAUCUGUGUCCCACACUGUCGGUUCACCGCUCGCGGUGUCCAACUGGCAUGUUCGUGGGACGUCCUACCGGUGGGCGCAGCCCCUCAAAAGGCGGCCCAACUCAAAAUCCUACCACGGUGCUCUUCACCGAGUGUCGAGGUGGGCCGGUACGUUUACUUUGAACAAAUUAGAGUGCUUAAAGCAGGCUCAUUUGCCUGAAUAUUGUGUGCAUGGAAUAAUGGAAUAGGACCUCGGUUCUAUUUUGUUGGUUUUCGGAACUCCGAGGUAAUGAUUAAUAGGGACAACUGGGGGCAUUCGUAUUGCGACGUUAGAGGUGAAAUUCUUGGAUCGUCGCAAGACGGACAGAAGCGAAAGAAAUGUGUUUUCAUCAAUCAAGAACGAAAGUUAGAGGUUCGAAG
This 1032-nucleotide ribosomal RNA is filed under the name Sternopsylla distincta texana. RNAcentral's name for it is "SSU rRNA". It matches the Rfam family "Eukaryotic small subunit ribosomal RNA", at positions 24 to 1003 of the family's 1831-position model. Lineage: Eukaryota; Metazoa; Arthropoda; Insecta; Siphonaptera; Ischnopsyllidae. The record is from RNAcentral.